RNAcentral lists this long non-coding RNA (1371 nucleotides) under Piliocolobus tephrosceles (Ugandan red Colobus). RNAcentral describes it as "lncRNA (ENSPTEG00000000775.1)". Lineage: Eukaryota; Metazoa; Chordata; Mammalia; Primates; Cercopithecidae. The record is from RNAcentral.
CUUACAUUUAAGUAUAAUUAAUUUGAUAAUAAAGAAAAAUCAAACUUUUUAAAAACGUCUUUACAUAUAGAUGAAAAAAAAGCAAAAAUCAUAUUUAUUUGAAAAAAAGAAAAUGAAGAUUAACUCUACAUAUAUUUUUUUUUAAUUAACAUUCGACUUGACGCGGGAACUAACGUCUGAAUUAACAUUUGAAUAAAGAUCUGAAUUAAUUUUUUUUUUUCAAAAAAAAAAAAAAGAAAAAAAAGAAAAAAAAACUGUUAAACAUUUGGGUAGUUAUGCAUGAGUAUACUAUAAGUAGUAGUCACAUAUCCUUAUAAAACAUAUACAUAUGUAUGUCUGUACGUACGUACAGUAUGUAUAUAUAAUAAAAAAAAAAAAAAAAAAAACUUUAUAAAUGUAUUUAGUAACAUAUACAAAGUGAUUAUGUCGAAAUGUUUAAGUAUAAAGAAUCAAUAAUAAAUAUAGUAGGCUUUUCUGAUUUGGAAGAAAAACAAAGAGUAUAUGAAAGGGUUCAGCACUUAUGGAAUAUAGCAUUAUCAACCAUUUAUGAAAAUGCCAAACUAUCAAUGAAAUAUAUAACUUUAAUUAAAAAAAUCACAAAAAAUAAGUUAGAUAUGAGUCAGGUAUGUUGUAAUAAUUGUAAUUUAAUAUAUAUACCAUUUUAUAACUGUACUAUUAUAAAUGAUAAUAAAAAUAAUAAAUUCGGGUAUGAAUGUAUUCUUUGUAAGAAAAAACAAUAUAUUUUUGAAAAUUACACAAUAAGUAAUAUUAAAAGAAAAAUAGAUAAAAAUUUUCAUAAAGUAGGACACACAUUCCUACCAAAAGAAGAGAAUUUAUUUUGUAUUAAUCAAGUUGGUGAAAAUAGUAAUGUGAAAAAUGACAACGAUAACAAAAAUACAUUCAUGCUUAACUAUGGGACAGAUGAUUCUUAUUUACCUAUACCUGCUCUUGAUUUGUCAAAUGAGUUUACUAACAAACAAGACACUCGUAACGAUGAAAAUUAUGUACAUGUAAACAGAUAUUAUACUUUUAAGGACGAUAGUGUUGUGAAUAAUGAACUGUAUAGUAUAGGUCGUGAAAAUUGUUCUGUAGUUAACAAUUUAUCAACCAAUUUAAAUUGUAAAAACAUAAAUAGUUUUUCCUCAAAGAAUGGCAAGGAUGAAAAAGGAAAUGUUUCAAGUUUCCACAUGAAGGGUGUUAAUAAUACAAACACAAAUACCAAAUUAAAUUGUAACAAUAACCUAAGUAAUAAAGAUAACGAAAAUAAAGAAAAUAAAGAAAAUAAAGAAAAUAACGAAAAUAAAGAAAAUAACGAAAAUAAAGAAAAUAAAGAAAAUAAAGAAAAUAACGAAAAUAAAGAAAAUAAAGAAA